UAGAGUUUGAUCAUGGCUCAGGACGAACGCUGGCGGUGCGCCUAAUGCAUGCAAGUCGAACGGCGCCUGUCCGACUUGUCGGGCAGGGGUAGUGGCAGACAGCUGAGUAACACGUAAGUGACCAACCCCGAAGCGGGGGAUAAUCCGGAGAAAUCCGGCCUAAUACCCCGUAAGCUCGCUCCGAUACGUCGGGGUGAGGAAAGGUCCCACUUCGGUGGAGCCGCUUUGGGACGGGCUUGCGGCCUAUCAGGUAGUUGGUGGGGUAAUGGCCCACCAAGCCAAAGACGGGUACCCGGUGUGAGAGCACGAACGGGCAGAGGGGGACUGAGACACGGCCCCCACUCCUACGGGAGGCAGCAGCAGGGAAUCUUGCGCAAUGGGCGAAAGCCUGACGCAGCGACACCGCGUGGGGGAAGAAGGCUUUCGAGUUGUAAACCCCUUUUCUCGGGGAAGAGUAAGGACGGUACCCGAGGAAUAAGCCUCGGCUAACUACGUGCCAGCAGCCGCGGUAAGACGUAGGAGGCGAGCGUUGUCCGGAUUUACUGGGCGUAAAGGGCGAGUAGGCGGCCCAUCAAGUCUCAUGUGAAAUCUCUCGGCUCAACUGGGAGCGGUCAUGGGAAACUGGUGGGCUCGAGGGCAGUAGAGGAGAGUGGAAUUCCCGGAGUAGCGGUGAAAUGCGUAGAUACCGGGAGGAACACCAGAGGCGAAGGCGGCUUUCUGGGCUGCACCUGACGCUGAGGCGCGAAAGCGUGGGGAGCGAACCGGAUUAGAUACCCGGGUAGUCCACGCCCUAAAUGGUGGAUACUAGACAUGGGGGGUAUCGACCCCCUCUGUGUCGUAGUUAACGCGUUAAGUAUCCCGCCUGGGGAGUACGGCCGCAAGGCUAAAACUCAAAGGAAUUGACGGGGGCCCGCACAAGCAGCGGAGCGUGUUGUUCAAUUCGAUGGCAAGCGAAGAACCUUACCAGGGCUUGACAUGUUUCCGACAGUCCCCGAAAGGGGAUCUUCCUUCGGGACGGAUUCACAGAUGUUGCAUGGUCGUCGUCAGCUCGUGUCGUGAGAUGUUGGGUUAAGUCCCGCAACGAGCGCAACCCUUGUCGUUAGUUACCUUGUCUAGCGAGACUGCAUGUAAAAAACAUGAGGAAGGUGGGGAUGACGUCAGAUCAGCACGGCUCUUACGUCCUGGGCUACAAACACGCUACAAUGGCCUGAACAGAGGGUCGCCAAGGCGCAAGCCGGAGCCAAUCCCACAAAUCAGGCCUCAGUUGGAAUUGCAGGCUGAAACUCGCCUGCAUGAACGUGGAGCUGCUAGUAACCGCAGGUCAGCACACUGCGGUGAAUACGUUCCCGGGCCUUGUACACACCGCCCG
Molecule: ribosomal RNA, 1369 nt
Filed under: uncultured bacterium
Lineage: Bacteria
Description: bacterial SSU rRNA
Rfam family: Bacterial small subunit ribosomal RNA
Source: RNAcentral